Molecule: microRNA precursor, 58 nt
Filed under: Ornithorhynchus anatinus (platypus)
Lineage: Eukaryota; Metazoa; Chordata; Mammalia; Monotremata; Ornithorhynchidae
Description: Oan-Mir-92-P1a6_pre stem-loop
Source: RNAcentral
AGGUUGAGAUCAAUUGCAAUGCUUUGUUUUCUGUGGUAUUGCACUUGUCCCAGCCUGU